ACACGUAUCCAACCUGCCGUCUACUCUUGGCCAGCCUUCUGAAAGGAAGAUUAAUCCAGGAUGGCAUCAUGAGUUCACAUGUCCGCAUGAUUAAAGGUAUUUUCCGGUAGACGAUGGGGAUGCGUUCCAUUAGAUAGUAGGCGGGGUAACGGCCCACCUAGUCAACGAUGGAUAGGGGUUCUGAGAGGAAGGUCCCCCACAUUGGAACUGAGACACGGUCCAA
RNAcentral lists this ribosomal RNA (223 nucleotides) under uncultured bacterium. RNAcentral describes it as "partial 16S ribosomal RNA". It matches the Rfam family "Bacterial small subunit ribosomal RNA", at positions 113 to 334 of the family's 1533-position model. The record is from RNAcentral.